This 72-nucleotide transfer RNA is filed under the name Puniceicoccales bacterium. RNAcentral describes it as "tRNA-Asn". It matches the Rfam family "tRNA". From Rfam's summary of the family: Transfer RNA (tRNA) molecules are approximately 80 nucleotides in length. Their secondary structure includes four short double-helical elements and three loops (D, anti-codon, and T loops). Lineage: Bacteria; Pseudomonadati; Verrucomicrobiota; Opitutia; Puniceicoccales. The record is from RNAcentral.
UGCUCGGUAGCUCAGCGGUAGAGCGGUCGGCUGUUAACCGAUUGGUCGCAGGUUCGAGCCCUGCCCGAGCAG